GGUAAAAAAAACAUAAUGAGACAUAAAAAGUCAAUAGCUACGAAUUUUAGAGCCAAAAUAAGUGGAAACCCCACAACUUUUCCCGCAUCUUUUUAAAUUUCAAAGAGGUCUCGGUUUUCCCGCGGCACCGCACCAACCAAUUAGAAGGGCGGUCUCAUUUUGAGCUGUGACGUAGAAAAGUACAUUUCUCCGCUUGCCACCACCUUCUGUAUUUUCUCUAUGGAAUAAAGGAUCCAUCUGUCAUGUAUGCAAAAAAAAAAACCGUAAACGUAAACAACUAGCAACCGGGUUUAGGUUAGGUUAAGGGAAAAGUGAACAGAGCGAGAGCAAUUAAAAGUAUCGCCGCCAUUUUGAUACGUACGUACAAAACGAACUAAAUGGAAAUCACUAAUGAGAAUGGAAACUGAUUUUAUUUUCUGCUGUUCAUUGACUACGUCACUCAGUUGCAACUGCAGCUGCAUUACCCUCUCCUUUUCUUAUUAGCUACUGCUUGUGUUUGUUAUUUUCUGAUUGUGAGCUGUAAUCAUGGUCAAUGCUGUUAUCUUUGGUGUUAUCAGUGCUGGUAUUGGUGCUGUGGACAGGGAGUUCUUUUGCCAACAAUCUUGAAGUCUUUUAAUUUUCAGCACUGUGACGAAGUUCAACAAAUAAGCAUUUUUUAGCUACUUAUAGAUUAGAGGACUGAUUUACUUUACCAGCAUGGUCAGUUGCGCUGUCUGCGGCUGUUCUCACCGAACGGGCAAUAGAAACAAGCCAGCCUCUCAGGUGAAAUUUGAAGAACAGAACAAAAGGCCCAUGAAGUUCUUCAGGUUUCCAUUAAGUAAUCCUGAAAAGUGGAAAAAAUGGGUUCUAGCUAUACGCCGAAAUAAUUUUACUCCUUGUAAAUAUUCGAGGGUAUGUGAAAUACAUUUCGAAAAGAAAUUCUUGAAGAAAGGGGUGAAGAGAGUUGGCUGCAUUUCUCUCUCGCCAGAUGCGAUCCCAACUAUUUUUCCAGCGCACCCACCAGAUUUAGAGAAGUUGGCUAGUAAAACCUGA
RNAcentral lists this long non-coding RNA (1032 nucleotides) under Bemisia tabaci. Its description in RNAcentral is "lncRNA ENSSSA3NGG004503". Lineage: Eukaryota; Metazoa; Arthropoda; Insecta; Hemiptera; Aleyrodidae. The record is from RNAcentral.